RNAcentral lists this long non-coding RNA (316 nucleotides) under Vitis vinifera (wine grape). Its description in RNAcentral is "long non-coding RNA (VVIN_LNC008121)". Lineage: Eukaryota; Viridiplantae; Streptophyta; Magnoliopsida; Vitales; Vitaceae. The record is from RNAcentral.
AAAAACUAUUUUUUUACCAAGGUUAAUUUUAUUUAUCUCCCUUAAGAUUAGUUACUAAAUAUAUCUAACAUCCAUAAAUUUGAAAUUUCUUCAAAUACCUCCCUUAUCUUUUUCAUUUCUUAAAAAAAAAUGAAAACAAAAAAAACAAAAACAGAAACCUUGAUUAGAAACCAAUAAAUAGGUGCAUUAAUAAAGGAGGAACAAAGUGGUUAGUAAUUAUAUGUUGAUCUUCCUCAUGUUCAAAUGCCUCCCCCAUCUUUAUAAUUCAUUUCAGACUCUGCUCCCCGCUAGCUACCUACACUUUUAAACCAUGUAU